RNAcentral lists this long non-coding RNA (334 nucleotides) under Sus scrofa (pig). RNAcentral describes it as "lncRNA (ENSSSCG00070023373.1)". The record is from RNAcentral. Lineage: Eukaryota; Metazoa; Chordata; Mammalia; Artiodactyla; Suidae.
GCGUCCGCUAGAUGGCGCUGCUCCGUGCAUCCCGAUAGGCCCCGCCUGCCGCUGGGCGGGCGCCGGAAGGAUGGGGAAGGACCGGGAAGGACCGGAAGGCCCUGGGGUCGCGGGUUCAGGCCGUAGCGCCGCCUCUGGGGCUGAUUCGGGCCCGCCCUGCGGCUGCGUUCGGCCCUUGGGAACUGGAGCCACUUUUCAGCUGCCGCUGGCUCCCAUCUCAGCGCUUUUGCACCGAGAGUCGGUGUUUUUGCACGCUUCUCCCAGCGGCCAGCGAUCCCCCUGCGGCCUUGGCAAGAGACCUUUAAAGAUGCAGGUGGAACCCGGAGAAAGCCAC